UUCUUUGCAGUUGGAAGGAAAUACCCAAUUCUAAAGGGCAAACCCUAGGUGAACUAGCGAUUUGUGGCUCAAAAAUUCGACCCACAUCUACCAUCGCCAGAACCCAUCAAAGAAGAUGCUAUUACAUAAGUUGUUUGGGGAAGAACAAGGACAUUUGUUAUUGUUGUAAGAAGCACCGACACCAAUUUUCAGAUUGCCCAUUGAAGCAACGAUGUCUAGAUUGUGGGUCGAGGUUCAUGAAAUGUAUGGAGGUCGAGAAGAAUACUAGAAACAUAUUAUAACUGUUCUUAUGUUACACAAGAGAUUGUGGAAUUUUUUAUUGGAAUGAUGAUUCGUCAUCGAGGGCAAAACCGAUGCAAUUUUAAGGAGAAGAUUUGUCAUCCAUGUUCAAGACAUUUGCUCAAAUAACUAAAGAAAAAGACAUGAAGAUAUCAUUGAACAUAACUAUGCGUAAGGGAAAAUGAUCUAUAUAAGGUGUGUUUGUCAUUUUUAUGUUUGUGUAGUAGGCACCAACUUCGAUUUAAAUUAUGUUUGGUGUAUGUUGUUGGCCACAUGGAAUGUGGGCGUGCAUUAAUCCUUUAAGUGGGCAUACAUUCAAAGAUGCCAACUGGGAAACUUGUAUGCUGAAUAUCAAGUGACAUUUUUGCUUAAUUUGUAAUAUGAACUGUAUUUUAUAUUCUAUUCAGUGACUAUCUUAAGCUUAA
This is a long non-coding RNA of Olea europaea var. sylvestris, 704 nucleotides long. RefSeq lists it as uncharacterized. Lineage: Eukaryota; Viridiplantae; Streptophyta; Magnoliopsida; Lamiales; Oleaceae. The record is from RefSeq and is a predicted model, not a curated record. The transcript is spliced from 2 exons.